UCAGGGCCGGAAAGCUCUCCAAACUCGGUCAUUUAGAGGAAGUAAAAGUCGUAACAAGGUCUCCGUUGGUGAACCAGCGGAGGGAUCAUUA
Molecule: ribosomal RNA, 91 nt
Filed under: Metarhizium album
Lineage: Eukaryota; Fungi; Ascomycota; Sordariomycetes; Hypocreales; Clavicipitaceae
Description: partial small subunit ribosomal RNA
Rfam family: Eukaryotic small subunit ribosomal RNA
Source: RNAcentral